This 1056-nucleotide long non-coding RNA is filed under the name Mytilus galloprovincialis (Mediterranean mussel). Lineage: Eukaryota; Metazoa; Mollusca; Bivalvia; Mytilida; Mytilidae. The record is from RNAcentral.
UUGUCUAUUUCUCAUGUAUGCAUUAAGUUAAAUUAUGUCCCCUUACAUAAUCAAUUUGCAUUUAUUGUGCUUUUCACUGUCAGAAAAUCUUAACAACUAAUGGUAUUUGCAUGGAAAAUGAAUAAACCAUUUAAUCUUGCUGAUAUAGCAUCAUAAAUACAUUCUUUGUCAAAAAUAAUGUCUAUUCAAUGUACAGAAACCCCUAUUUCUAUCUCUAUUUCAUACCAAUAUGAGAGCUAAAUGAAUAAGUAAGGACCCCUUAACCACUUACUGGUUCCCCAAAAGCUCCUACUGGUGUCAUGUAACAUCAGAACUACUAAUUAAACCUUAAGAAAGCUAGUAUAGCUGUACUUAUGUUGAAAAAAAUAAGAAAUUAUGCAAUUUAUUUAUUUCGGUGAAAAUAAUAGGAUGAACAUGCAACCGUAGAAUGUCGCGUCUCAAAUUUCAGUGGUUGCACAUGUGUCAGACACUGCGAAAAGUUAAAGCGAGCAUUUAUAAUUAAAAAUGUAUUGCAAGUUACAUAAAAAUAAUGAAGUUCUACUUUCUAUGAAAAUUUUUACAUUAUUACCUACAGAUCAGGCAAAAUUUGCUGAAUCAGCAAUUUUUACUCUCAGGGGUGGAAUUUAAGGCUUGUUUUAUCAUAGUUGCCCUUAAUCAACUUUUUAUUGAUAAACUUACAAAUUGCAUAGGUAAAAAAAAGUUCCUUCAUUGAUUUAGUGUAAAAAUAUAUAUCCCCCUUAACCAAGACAUAACAAACUUGAAACCAGUCAUGACACCUAUAAUGCAUAGACUUCUUACUUUGGAACAUAUUACAAUAAAGAAUACUAGUCUGCACUUAUUUCUUACAAAAAAAAAAUGAAACAUUACAUCCCUACCCCAUCUGGCAGAUUUUCACUUUUUUUUCAUCUUACCAUUUUUACUUAAGGAGUGAACAAAACCCAAAUAUAUGAUGUUUCAAAUCAACACAGAAGUCAAACAUGGUGAGUCAGGAGGAAUUAUUGGAUUGCCAACUCUAUUUAUGGUUAAUCUGACUGAAAGAAACAGUUUAAGCACCAA